This 490-nucleotide ribosomal RNA is filed under the name uncultured bacterium. RNAcentral's name for it is "partial 16S ribosomal RNA". It matches the Rfam family "Bacterial small subunit ribosomal RNA", at positions 30 to 507 of the family's 1533-position model. The record is from RNAcentral.
AUUGAACGCUGGCGGCAGGCCUAACACAUGCAAGUCGAACGGUAACAGGAAGAAGCUUGCUUCUUUGCUGACGAGUGGCGGACGGGUGAGUAAUGUCUGGGAAACUGCCUGAUGGCGGGGGAUAACUACUGGUAACGGUAGCUAAUACCGCAUAACGUCGCAAGACCAAAGAGGGGGACCUUCGGGCCUCUUGCCAUCGGAUGUGCCCGGAUGGGAUUAGCUAGUAGGUGGGGUAACGGCUCACCUAGGCGACGAUCCCUAGCUGGUCUGAGAGGAUGACCAGCCACACUGGAACUGAGACACGGUCCAGACUCCUACGGGAGGCAGCAGUGGGGAAUAUUGCACAAUGGGCGCAAGCCUGAUGCAGCCAUGCCGCGUGUAUGAAGAAGGCCUUCGGGUUGUAAAGUACUUUCAGCGGGGAAGAAAGGAGUAAAGUUAAUACCUUUGCUCAUUGACGUUACCCGCAGAAGAAGCACCGGCUAACUCCGUG